AGAGAAGACAGCGUGUCCGCAGAGCGGCACCUGCCUCCUCCUGCCUCAACCCCUCCCGGCCGGGGGUGCAGGAGGGCAGCCGGGGCAGCGCUCCCUGCCCGCCUGUGCCGGCUCCCCCCGCUCCUUGCCCCUCCUAAAGACCCACGUCCGAGCCCUCGUGGUGCGGAAUCGGCCCCAGUGAAGUCGGAUUUUUUUUUUCGGAAAGGGGCCCUGGGGUGCGGAGCCCGGCAGCUCCUGCCUGCGCUCGGUCCCUACCGCGGCUGGGACUUGACCUGCAGAGGGCAAUAGUUGGACGCAGAUGCUAACAAAGGCAGCGAGGCUCCUUGGCUCGGCACGGUGGCCGGGACCCAAGAAUGCUGUGUAGCCCACAUUCAGCUGAGAGGCGAUCGCCGGGGACAUGGGAAGCAAGAGCAGCCGCCGAUGUGUGAAAGCAACGAGACACGGCCAGCCAGAGGCGCCGGGGUCCCUUCCCGGGGUUUGUUAACAUGGUAAUCCGGCACCAGGAGAGAAAGCUGCUUUCUGCUGCCCAGAGCCCGUUCCCCAUCACACAUCAGAUGACUCCCUGGUUUUACACACAGUUGGAGUUCUGCUUGAAACCUGGAUUUAAAGGGAAUCUGUUGCUGCGUGUGACAUCCCUUGCGAGCUCCCAGGGAGAACUGAUGGAGCAUACAGCUAGGGAAUAGGAUGCCGGAGAAGCGCGGAGGAAGAGACCGGGCAACCACCAGGACGGGAAGGCACCGCGCCCGCUGGAUAUGGGACGGGAUCGCUCGGCUACCCUUGUGGAUUCUCCUUCUGCUAGAGGGGAAUUAUAGUUAUGGAUUUAUUGCCCCGGUGCAGCACUUCCAGCAGCAGCAGCAGCAGCUUUCUGACUCUCUUCGGUGA
This 882-nucleotide long non-coding RNA is filed under the name Anser brachyrhynchus (Pink-footed goose). RNAcentral's name for it is "lncRNA (ENSABRG00000014899.1)". Lineage: Eukaryota; Metazoa; Chordata; Aves; Anseriformes; Anatidae. The record is from RNAcentral.